AUGGAGCGCUGCCGGACCUCCUCUCGUCCGCCGCAGCCCCAGCCCGCUCCCGCCCCGGCCCCAAUCCCAGGCCGUGGAAUAUGCAUGAUGAGCACCGUGUGGAGAGACAAGCAGGACCACCACCUUAUCAACUUCAUUGGCGCGUUCCUGGCCGCCAACUCGUAUCGCCUGAACUUCCUGUCGAUAUCUCCUGACUUCAUCUUCAACAAUGGGGGGCUAUCAGUUGCUUUCAUCUUUGAGACGAGCUGGGACUGUGGGAAUGCAGCUGCUGUUUUUAGCAGGGUGAAUGCACUGAAGAGGCAGUUCAAAAAUCUCUAUGUCGUUGUUGCUGUUCCUACAGUGGAGCAAAUGGAAUCGUUUACUCAGUCUUAUUUCAAGUAUGGCAUGGAGCUUGGCUGCCCUACAUUUGUGCCUGUUAACGAUCCAGAGAUGGGAUUUGAGAUGAUGCUCAAAAUUGCUCAUGCCUGUGGAGUCUGCAAGCAGCAGGACAUUAGCUCAACAAUGAGGAAUGAGCGGGAGGAAGCAGUUCAGUCCAUGGAUGCCUAUAUACGAGUGCUCACCUCUAUUCCUGGUAUUGAUGAUCACGAUGCCAAUAUGCUUGCCCAAGCUAUUGGCUCCAUUGAAGCAAUUGCAAAAGCAUCCGAGAGUUCUAUCCUAGAAAGCACUGACCUCUCCAGGGAUAAGGCAGAGACAAUUGUCAGGUUCUUCAGGGAUCCGCAGUUCUACUUAAGCCCUAAAAUCAACUAA
RNAcentral lists this ribosomal RNA (747 nucleotides) under Triticum aestivum (bread wheat). RNAcentral's name for it is "partial small subunit ribosomal RNA". Lineage: Eukaryota; Viridiplantae; Streptophyta; Magnoliopsida; Poales; Poaceae. The record is from RNAcentral.